This 72-nucleotide transfer RNA is filed under the name Camelus bactrianus (Bactrian camel). It matches the Rfam family "tRNA". Rfam says of the family: Transfer RNA (tRNA) molecules are approximately 80 nucleotides in length. Their secondary structure includes four short double-helical elements and three loops (D, anti-codon, and T loops). The record is from Rfam by way of RNAcentral. Lineage: Eukaryota; Metazoa; Chordata; Mammalia; Artiodactyla; Camelidae. RNAcentral also lists the same sequence under 1 other name.
GUAGGUAUAGCUCAGUGGUAGAGAAGGUGCUUAGCAUGUGUGAGGUCCUGGGCUCUAUCCCCAGUACCUCCA